Molecule: unclassified non-coding RNA, 1610 nt
Filed under: uncultured fungus
Lineage: Eukaryota; Fungi
Description: sequence contains 18S rRNA gene, ITS1, 5.8S rRNA gene, ITS2, 28S rRNA gene
Rfam family: Eukaryotic large subunit ribosomal RNA (bases 711-1610)
Source: RNAcentral
GGAGGGAUCAUAUUAUGGAUAAUUUUAUGACGAAAGGAGGAGAGAGGGUGUGGGUAUGGGUAUGGGUAUGGGUAUGGGUAUGGGUGUGUGUGUGUGUGUGUGUGUAUAUAUAUAUAUAUACAUAUACUAUAUACAUACACAUACACAUACACAUACACAUAUACAUAUACACACACCCUAAUCCUCCUUUGGAAAUAUAAUUUUAGAUGUGCACUUGUAUUGAAAGUCAGAGAUAUAUAUUUGCUAUAUAAUUUAUAGCAAAUAUAAUCUUUUUAAACCUAAACUGUUUAUAACCAAAUCUAGUUUUAAUAUAUAAUUAUAAAAAAAACAACUUUUAACAACGGAUCUCUAGGCUCUUGCAUCGAUGAAGAACGCAGCGAAUUGCGAAAUGUAAUGUUGUUUGCAUAACGUCCAACAUCAAGUUUUUGAACGCACCUUGCACUUUUGUUUUACAAGAGUAUGCCUGUUUGAGAGGAUAAACAUCCCAUCCAAUCCUAGAUAUUUUAUAUAUAAAAGGAUUGGGAAGUUGAGUAAUCUUGCAAGUAUAUUUUUUAAUAUGAGCGAGUUACUUUAAUAUUAGUUGGGUAUAUAUAUUUAUUUAGAAAAAUGGAAAAUUUCCAUAUAUUACUUUAUAGUCCAGUAAUGGGAUCUAGUAAUGUUUUUAUAUAUAUAUAUAACCAAAUGCAAGGAAAAGUAUAUAUAAAAGAUAUAUUCCUCAAAUCAGGUAAGACUACCCGCUGAAUUUAAGCAUAUCAAUAAGCGGAGGAAAAGAAACUAACAAGGAUUCCUUUAGUAACGGCGAGUGAAGUAGGAAUAGCUCAAUCUUUAAUCAUCUGUCACUUUGGCAGCAUGAAUUGUAGUUUAUAGAUUUUAGUCUGAUUUUAAAUAUGUGGACACACAAAUACCUGGAAUGGUAUAUCAGAGAGGGUAACAAUCCCGUCUGGGUCAAUAUUUUCAAUCAUAAUGACAAUUUUCUUAGAGUCGAGUUGUUUGGGAAUGCAGCUCUAAAUGGGUGGUAAACUUCAUCCAAAGCUAAAUAUUGGCAAGAGACCGAUAGCGAACAAGUACCGUGAGGGAGAGAUGAAAAGAACUUUGAAGAAAGAGUUAAAAGUGCGUGAAAUUGUUAAAAGGGAAACGUUCAGUGUGUGGAUUAUGUCAAGGAGAGUUUUUUGAGUUAGAAAUUAGGAUUAGUGAUUUAGGUGAAACUAAAUGACUAUACUGAAUUAUAACGUAGCCAAAGACUCGGGAGUAAAUUUGUUCUUGACUACCAACACAUAUUGACCGACCCGUCUUGAAACACGGACCAAGGAGUCUAACAUAUAUGCGAGUGUUUGGGUGACAAACCCAUUAACGCGAAAUGAAAGUGACCCAAGUGGGAAACUCUUUUUAAAUGAAGGGAAGCACCACUGGCCGAUCAUUGGUUUUAUACCUAAUAGAUUUGAGCAAGAGCAUAUAUGCUAGGACCCGAAAGAUGGUGAACUAUGCCUGAGCAGGGCGAAGCCAGAGGAAACUCUGGUGGAGGCUCGUAGGGGUUCUGACGUGCAAAUCGAUCUUCAGACUUGGGUAUAGGGGCGAAAGACUAAUCGAACCAUCUAGUAGCUGGUUCCUGC